Molecule: ribosomal RNA, 720 nt
Filed under: uncultured organism
Description: SSU rRNA
Rfam family: Bacterial small subunit ribosomal RNA
Source: RNAcentral
CGCUGGCGGCGUGCUUAACACAUGCAAGUCGAACGAAGAUACUUAAAAUGAGAGCUUCGGCAGGAUUUUUAUUUAUCUUAGUGGCGGACGGGUGAGUAACGUGUGGGCAACCUGCCCUAUACUGGGGAAUAAUCACUGGAAACGGUGACUAAUACCGCAUGUCAUUACGGAAGGGCAUCCUUCUGUAAGAAAAGGAGUAAUUCGGUAUAGGAUGGGCCCGCAUCUGAUUAGCUAGUUGGUGAGAUAACAGCCCACCAAGGCGACGAUCAGUAGCCGACCUGAGAGGGUGAUCGGCCACAUUGGGACUGAGACACGGCCCAAACUCCUACGGGAGGCAGCAGUGGGGAAUAUUGCACAAUGGGGGAAACCCUGAUGCAGCAACGCCGCGUGAAGGAAGAAGGUUUUCGGAUCGUAAACUUCUAUCAACAGGGACGAAGAAAGUGACGGUACCUGAAUAAGAAGCCCCGGCUAACUACGUGCCAGCAGCCGCGGUAAUACGUAGGGGGCAAGCGUUAUCCGGAAUUACUGGGUGUAAAGGGAGCGUACGCGGCACGCCAAGCCAGAUGUGAAAGCCCGAGGCUUAACCUCGCGGAUUGCAUUUGGAACUGGCGAGCUAGAGUACAGGAGAGGAAAGCGGAAUUCCUAGUGUAGCGGUGAAAUGCGUAGAUAUUAGGAAGAACACCAGUGGCGAAGGCGGCUUUCUGGACUGAAACUGACGCU